RNAcentral lists this ribosomal RNA (253 nucleotides) under uncultured bacterium. RNAcentral's name for it is "partial 16S ribosomal RNA". It matches the Rfam family "Bacterial small subunit ribosomal RNA", at positions 524 to 776 of the family's 1533-position model. The record is from RNAcentral.
UACGUAGGGCGCAAGCGUUGUCCGGAAUCAUUGGGCGUAAAGCGCGCGUAGGUGGCUUCGUAAGUCCGUUGUGAAAGUCAAAGGCUCAACCUUUGAAUGCCGAUGGAUACUGCGAAGCUAGAGUACGGAAGAGGCGAGUGGAAUUCCUGGUGUAGCGGUGAAAUGCGCAGAUAUCAGGAGGAACACCAAUGGCGAAGGCAGCUCGCUGGGACGGUACUGACGCUGAGACGCGAAAGCGUGGGGAUCAAACAGG